GACGAACGCUGGCGGCGUGCUUAACACAUGCAAGUCGAACGGUAAGGCUCCAGCUUGCUGGGGUACACGAGUGGCGAACGGGUGAGUAACACGUGGGUGACCUGCCCUGCACUUCGGGAUAAGCCUGGGAAACUGGGUCUAAUACCGGAUAGGACCGCACCGUGAGGGUGUGGUGGAAAGUUUUUUCGGUGUGGGAUGGGCCCGCGGCCUAUCAGCUUGUUGGUGGGGUAAUGGCCUACCAAGGCGGCGACGGGUAGCCGGCCUGAGAGGGUGGACGGCCACAUUGGGACUGAGACACGGCCCAGACUCCUACGGGAGGCAGCAGUGGGGAAUAUUGCACAAUGGGCGGAAGCCUGAUGCAGCGACGCCGCGUGGGGGAUGACGGCCUUCGGGUUGUAAACUCCUUUCACCAUCGACGAAGGGUUUCUGACGGUAGAUGGAGAAGAAGCACCGGCUAACUACGUGCCAGCAGCCGCGGUAAUACGUAGGGUGCGAGCGUUGUCCGGAAUUACUGGGCGUAAAGAGCUCGUAGGUGGUUUGUCGCGUCGUCUGUGAAAUUCCGGGGCUUAACUCCGGGCGUGCAGGCGAUACGGGCAUAACUUGAGUACUGUAGGGGAGACUGGAAUUCCUGGUGUAGCGGUGAAAUGCGCAGAUAUCAGGAGGAACACCGGUGGCGAAGGCGGGUCUCUGGGCAGUAACUGACGCUGAGGAGCGAAAGCAUGGGGAGCGAACAGGAUUAGAUACCCUGGUAGUCCAUGCCGUAAACGGUGGGCGCUAGGUGUGGGCUUCCUUCCACGGGAUCCGUGCCGUAGCUAACGCAUUAAGCGCCCCGCCUGGGGAGUACGGCCGCAAGGCUAAAACUCAAAGGAAUUGACGGGGGCCCGCACAAGCGGCGGAGCAUGUGGAUUAAUUCGAUGCAACGCGAAGAACCUUACCUGGGCUUGACAUAUACAGGAUCGCGCCAGAGAUGGUGUUUCCCUUGUGGCUUGUAUACAGGUGGUGCAUGGUUGUCGUCAGCUCGUGUCGUGAGAUGUUGGGUUAAGUCCCGCAACGAGCGCAACCCUUGUCUUAUGUUGCCAGCACGUUGUGGUGGGGACUCGUAAGAAACUGCCGGGGUUAACUCGGAGGAAGGUGGGGAUGACGUCAAAUCAUCAUGCCCCUUAUGUCCAGGGCUUCACACAUGCUACAAUGGUCGGUACAGUGGGUUGCCAGUCCGUGAGGGCGAGCUAAUCCCGCAAAGCCGGUCUCAGUUCGGAUCGGGGUCUGCAACUCGACCCCGUGAAGUCGGAGUCGCUAGUAAUCGCAGAUCAGCAACGCUGCGGUGAAUACGUUCCCGGGCCU
RNAcentral lists this ribosomal RNA (1341 nucleotides) under uncultured bacterium. Its description in RNAcentral is "partial 16S ribosomal RNA". It matches the Rfam family "Bacterial small subunit ribosomal RNA", at positions 28 to 1381 of the family's 1533-position model. The record is from RNAcentral.